RNAcentral lists this ribosomal RNA (484 nucleotides) under uncultured bacterium. Its description in RNAcentral is "partial 16S ribosomal RNA". It matches the Rfam family "Bacterial small subunit ribosomal RNA", at positions 30 to 507 of the family's 1533-position model. The record is from RNAcentral.
AUUGAACGCUGGCGGCAGGCCUAACACAUGCAAGUCGAGCGGAUGAAGGGAGCUUGCUCCUGGAUUCAGCGGCGGACGGGUGAGUAAUGCCUAGGAAUCUGCCUGGUAGUGGGGGAUAACGUCCGGAAACGGGCGCUAAUACCGCGUACGCCCUGAGGGAGAAAGUGGGGGAUCUUCGGACCUCACGCUAUCAGAUGAGCCUAGGUCGGAUUAGCUAGUUGGUGGGGUAAAGGCCUACCAAGGCGACGAUCCGUAACUGGUCUAAGAGGAUGAUCAGUCACACUGGAACUGAGACACGGUCCAGACUCCUACGGGAGGCAGCAGUGGGAAAUAUUGGACAAUGGGCGAAAGCCUGAUCCAGCCAUGCCGCGUGUGUGAAGAAGGUCUUCGGAUUGUAAAGCACUUUAAGUUGGGAGGAAGGGCAGUAAGUUAAUACCUUGCUGUUUUGACGUUACCAACAGAAUAAGCACCGGCUAACUUCGUG